GCCGACUUAGCUCAGUCGGUAGAGCAACUCAUUCGUAAUGAGUAGGUCGGAGGUUCGAUUCCUCUAGUCGGCACCA
Molecule: transfer RNA, 76 nt
Filed under: Dielma fastidiosa
Lineage: Bacteria; Bacillati; Bacillota; Erysipelotrichia; Erysipelotrichales; Erysipelotrichaceae
Also listed under: 1 other name
Description: tRNA-Thr
Rfam family: tRNA
About the family: Transfer RNA (tRNA) molecules are approximately 80 nucleotides in length. Their secondary structure includes four short double-helical elements and three loops (D, anti-codon, and T loops).
Source: RNAcentral